GAUGAACGCUGGCGGCGUGCCUAUUACAUGCAAGUCGAGCGAAUGGAUUAAGAGCUUGCUCUUAUGAAGUUAGCGGCGGACGGGUGAGUAACACGUGGGUAACCUGCCCAUAAGACUGGGAUAACUCCGGGAAACCGGGGCUAAUACCGGAUAACAUUUUGAACCGCAUGGUUCGAAAUUGAAAGGCGGCUUCGGCUGUCACUUAUGGAUGGACCCGCGUCGCAUUAGCUAGUUGGUGAGGUAACGGCUCACCAAGGCAACGAUGCGUAGCCGACCUGAGAGGGUGAUCGGCCACACUGGGACUGAGACACGGCCCAGACUCCUACGGGAGGCAGCAGUAGGGAAGCUUCCGCAAUGGACGAAAGUCUGACGGAGCAACGCCGCGUGAGUGACGAAGGCUUUCGGGUCGUAAAACUCUGUUGUUAGGGAAGAACAAGUGCUAGUUGAAUAAGCUGGCACCUUGACGGUACCUAACCAGAAAGCCACGGCUAACUACGUGCCAGCCGCCGCAGUAA
This 515-nucleotide ribosomal RNA is filed under the name uncultured bacterium. RNAcentral describes it as "partial 16S ribosomal RNA". It matches the Rfam family "Bacterial small subunit ribosomal RNA", at positions 28 to 523 of the family's 1533-position model. The record is from RNAcentral.